RNAcentral lists this long non-coding RNA (686 nucleotides) under Marmota monax (woodchuck). The record is from RNAcentral. Lineage: Eukaryota; Metazoa; Chordata; Mammalia; Rodentia; Sciuridae.
GUUUCUUGUUUACGAUUCAUGACAGGUUUAUGUUACUUCUAUUUGAAUUUCUAUAUUUCACAUGUGGUUUUUAUGCUUAAUAUUAGGGGAGUAGAGCCAGUUAACAUUUAGGGAGUUAUCUGUUUUCAUCUUGAGGUGGCCAAUAUGGGGAUGUAGAAUUUUUAUACGACUUAUAAAGGUUUGGCAUAGUACUUUAUGUACAUUGUGGCUUCACAAGGGCCAAUGUUAAAACUGCUUCCAUGUCUAAGCAAAGAAAACUGCCUACAUAUUGGUUUGUCCUGGUGGGGAAUAAAAGGGAUCAUCAGUUCCAGUCACAGGUGUAGUAAUUGUGGGUACUUUAAGAAGGUUGUAGUAGAAACAGAUAUCCCUUGGAUCCUACAUGUGUGAAUCUUGGGUUUCUGUGGAAUAGACAAUCUCAGUGUGCACAGCUUUGACUACAGCUGCAGAAGUGCUCCUUUAGACAAAGUUGUGACCCAAUUUACUCUGGAUAAGGACAGAAAUGGUUCACAUUCCAUUAUUUGUAAAGUUACCUGCUGCUUGCUUUCAUUAUUUUUGCUUCACAUUUUAUUUGUAUUUAAAUAUUUUAGGCAACCUAAGAAAAAAUGUAAAAGUAAAGAUGCAGUAAAAAUAAAUUGCUUGAUAUCCAUUACUUUAUGUAUAUCAGGCACAGUGGUAAACAAAACAAA